GGCUCUGUGCACAGUCACAGUGCACUAGUCUCAAAGCCGGGGGCACAUGUGUCCAGUUCGGAAGAGAGUUCGUUUUGAUACAAACUAGUUUGUAGCUCGUUGUCCACUUUACUACGGUUGGAAAGAGGCGUAGUUCGUGUUUAAACAACGUUUCGCUUCUGACUUCUUGAUUUGGGAACGUCUAAUCUGUGAAUAUAUCGUUCCAACACCAGAGAGUUCAAGCUCCUCGAAGACACAUCCCAGCCACGUGGUCAAUCUGCUGAGACGGCGUUUAUUGUUAAAAAAUAGGUACACCUUGAUCGUGUACACUGUUCUACAAGAUGAAUUGGAUAUCUGCAUAUUUUGGAAGAGCCUAUAAUACGGACGGGCCGAAGAAGAGGCUCCUGUCUUCAAAGUUGAGUGGUUGCUCUCAACCAGAAUGUAUAACCACGUGCCAAAAGCAUUUGAGGUAACGUUACUUUUUCUAGUUGGUUUAGCAUAUUGACAUGAACUUCCUUUCACGAGUAUUUGUUUUAAUCUUUUACUGUUGAUCGUCAAUAUAUCCAUUGACUAUGAAAACUCCUGUUUGUUUGUCGAACUGCUAACGUUAACUGAAGUCAUUGGCUCCUCGGAGGCAGGCCAGCCGUAUGCUAACAUUACCACUACGAUUAACAACGCAGAUAGUUUUGAUUUAUGUUUUGUUUGGGGUUGUCUUGAGGAUGAAUCUAUCCCGAACCUGAUUUCAUGUGAAUGAAAUUCUAUCGGAUCUGACUUCUGAAACGCAACCUAUGGUUCUUAGCAUAUCUCAGUAUGCUUUACAAGUCUAGUUUUAGUCUGCAGUCCUUUGCUAACUUCAUAGCUAACAUUAUGUAUUUUUAAACUCUGCAAGAGUUUAACUUAAAUAUGUUUUCCCCUCAGGAAGAAACGUCCAGAGAGACUCGUCCAUGAACGCGACAAUGCUGGUUCUGGUACUGUGCCAUAAUUAGAAGAAACGUCCAGAGAGACUCAACCAAGGACGCGACAAUGCUGUUUCUGGUACUGUGCCAUAAUGAAAAGAAACGUCCAGAGAGACUCGUCCAUGGACGCGACAAUGCUGGUUCUGGUACUGUGCCAUAAUGAGAAGAAACGUCCAGAGAGACUCGUCCAUGGACGCGACAAUGCUGGUUCUGGUACUGUGCCAUAAUGAGUAAGUACUGGGCUUGAUGUUUUGGGCUCUCUUGCACCAGAUUCAUGUUGUAGCCAUCGAUGAUGGCAAACCCCUUGUAAUGUUGUAGGGGAAAGGCUGG
Long non-coding RNA from Clupea harengus (Atlantic herring), 1265 nucleotides. Lineage: Eukaryota; Metazoa; Chordata; Actinopteri; Clupeiformes; Clupeidae. The record is from Ensembl.